CACCUCUCACUAAAAUUCUCAAUCUCUAUUUCUCCUCUGGUAUAUUUCCAUUGCCUUUCAAACAUGCAACUGUAAUCCCAAUUCUAAAGAAGCCCAUUCUUGACCCUAUCUCCCCAUCCAACUUUCGUCCUAUCUCGCUACUGCCUUUUGCAUCCAAGAUCCUUGAAAAAAUUUGUAUGCGAGAUUGACAGACUUCCUCGAGUCCAACUCUCUGCUUCAG
Molecule: long non-coding RNA, 220 nt
Filed under: Pelobates cultripes (western spadefoot toad)
Lineage: Eukaryota; Metazoa; Chordata; Amphibia; Anura; Pelobatidae
Source: RNAcentral